This 443-nucleotide ribosomal RNA is filed under the name uncultured bacterium. RNAcentral describes it as "partial 16S ribosomal RNA". It matches the Rfam family "Bacterial small subunit ribosomal RNA", at positions 338 to 795 of the family's 1533-position model. The record is from RNAcentral.
CCUACGGGAGGCAGCAGUGGGGAAUAUUGGGCAAUGGACGAAACCCUGACCCAGCAACGCCGCGUGAAUGAAGAAGGCCUUCGGAUUGUAAAGUUCUUUUCACAGGGACGAAGAAAGUUACGGUACCUUUUGAAUAAGCCUCUGCUAACUACGUGCCAGCAGCCGCGGUAAUACGUAGGUGGCGAGCGUUAUCCGGAUGUACUGGGGGUAAAGGGCGCGUAGGUGGGAUAGCAAGUUAGAUGUGAAACUCCAAGGCUCAACCUUGGAACUGCUUUUAAAACUGUUGUUCUUGAGUGCCGGAGAGGAAAGCGGAAUUCCGUGGGUAGCGGUGAAAUGCGUAGAUAUAAGGAGGAACACCAGUGGCGAAGGCGGGUUGCUAGACAGUAACUGACGCUGAGGCACGAAAGCGUGGGGAGCAAACAGGAUUAGAUACCCUUGUAGUC